AGAGAGGUGGCCGAGUGGUCGAAGGCGCGCGCUUGGAAAGCGNGUAUACGNANNAAUCUUCGUAUCGAGGGUUCGAAUCCCUUCCUCUCUG
RNAcentral lists this transfer RNA (91 nucleotides) under Flammeovirgaceae bacterium. RNAcentral describes it as "tRNA-Ser". It matches the Rfam family "tRNA". From Rfam's summary of the family: Transfer RNA (tRNA) molecules are approximately 80 nucleotides in length. Their secondary structure includes four short double-helical elements and three loops (D, anti-codon, and T loops). The record is from RNAcentral. Lineage: Bacteria; Pseudomonadati; Bacteroidota; Cytophagia; Cytophagales; Flammeovirgaceae.